GUGCCAGCAGCCGCGCGGUAAUACCUGCAGCUCGAGUGGUGGUCGCUUUUAUUGGGCCUAAAACGUCCGUAGCCUGUCAUGUAAGUGCUUGGGUAAAUCGAAGGGCUUAACUCUUCGAAUUCCGGGUAGACUGCAUGACUAGAGACCGGGAGAGGUUAGAGGUACUCCGGGGGUAGAGGUGAAAUUCUGUAAUCCUCGGGGGACCACCAGUGGCGAAGGCGUCUAACUAGAACGGGUCCGACGGUGAGGGACGAAGCCCUGGGGCGCAAACGGGAUUAGAUACCCCGGUAGUCCAGGGUGU
This 301-nucleotide ribosomal RNA is filed under the name uncultured archaeon. RNAcentral describes it as "bacterial SSU rRNA". It matches the Rfam family "Archaeal small subunit ribosomal RNA", at positions 455 to 754 of the family's 1478-position model. The record is from RNAcentral.